Molecule: ribosomal RNA, 96 nt
Filed under: Ailuropoda melanoleuca (giant panda)
Lineage: Eukaryota; Metazoa; Chordata; Mammalia; Carnivora; Ursidae
Description: similar to 28S ribosomal RNA
Rfam family: Eukaryotic large subunit ribosomal RNA
Source: RNAcentral
AGCAGGACAGUGGCCAUGGAAGUCGGAAUCAGCCAGGGAGUGUGUAACAGCUCACCUACUGAAUCAACUAGUCCUGAAAAUGGUUGACACUGGAGC